Small nuclear RNA from Apodemus sylvaticus (European woodmouse), 104 nucleotides. NCBI's taxonomy places the organism in Eukaryota, Metazoa, Chordata, Mammalia, Rodentia, Muridae. The record is from RefSeq and is a predicted model, not a curated record.
UUGCUUCGGCAGCACACAUACCAAAACUUGGAAUGAUACAGAAAAGAUUAGCAUGACCUCUGUGCAAGAAUGAUGCAUAAACUUGUGAAGUGUUCCAUAUUUAA